AACGCGAAGAACCUUACCUACCCUUGACAUCCCACGAAUUCUGUAGAGAUACGGAAGUGCCGAAAGGAACGUGGAGACAGGUGCUGCAUGGCUGUCGUCAGCUCGUGUUGUGAGAUGUUGGGUUAAGUCCCGUAACGAGCGCAACCCUUAUCCUUAGUUGCCAACACGUAAUGGUGGGGACUCUAAGGAGACUGCUGGUGAUGAACCGGAGGAAGGCGGGGACGACGUCAAGUCAUCAUGGCCUUUAUGGGUAGGGCUACACACGUGCUACAAUGGACAGUACAGAGGGCAGCGAUAUCGCGAGAUGGAGCCAAUCCCAGAAAGCUGUUCGUAGUCCGGAUUGAAGUCUGCAACUCGACUUCAUGAAGUCGGAAUCGCUAGUAAUCGCGAAUCAGAAUGUCGCGGUGAAUACGUUCCCGGGCCUUGUACACACCGCAUAC
Molecule: ribosomal RNA, 440 nt
Filed under: uncultured bacterium
Lineage: Bacteria
Description: bacterial SSU rRNA
Rfam family: Bacterial small subunit ribosomal RNA
Source: RNAcentral